GCGCUCCUACGGGGCGCAGCAGUGAGGAAUAUUGGUCAAUGGGCGCGAGCCUGAACCAGCCACGUAGCGUGAAGGAUGACUGCCCUACGGGUUGUAAACUUCUUUUAUAAAGGAAUAAAGUGAGGCACGUGUGCCUUUUUGUAUGUAUUUUAUGAAUAAGGAUCGGCUAACUCCGUGCCAGCAGCCGCGGUAAUACGGAGGAUCCGAGCGUUAUCCGGAUUUAUUGGGUUUAAAGGGUGCGCAGGCGGAAGAUCAAGUCA
RNAcentral lists this ribosomal RNA (260 nucleotides) under uncultured bacterium. Its description in RNAcentral is "partial 16S ribosomal RNA". It matches the Rfam family "Bacterial small subunit ribosomal RNA", at positions 333 to 590 of the family's 1533-position model. The record is from RNAcentral.